RNAcentral lists this ribosomal RNA (484 nucleotides) under uncultured bacterium. RNAcentral's name for it is "partial 16S ribosomal RNA". It matches the Rfam family "Bacterial small subunit ribosomal RNA", at positions 30 to 507 of the family's 1533-position model. The record is from RNAcentral.
AUUGAACGCUGGCGGCAGGCCUAACACAUGCAAGUCGAGCGGAUGAAGGGAGCUUGCUCCUGGAUUCAGCGGCGGACGGGUGAGUAAUGCCUAGGAAUCUGCCGGGUAGUGGGGGAUAACGUCCGGAAACGGGGGCUAAUACCGCAUACGUCCUGAGGGAGAAAGUGGGGGAUCUUCGGACCUCACGCUAUCAGAUGAGCCUAGGUCGGAUUAGCUAGUUGGUGGGGUAAAGGCCUACCAAGGCGACGAUCCGUAACUGGUCUGAGAGGAUGAUCAGUCACACUGGAACUGAGACACGGUCCAGACUCCUACGGGAGGCAGCAGUGGGGAAUAUUGGACAAUGGGCGAAAGCCUGAUCCAGCCAUGCCGCGUGUGUGAAGAAGGUCUUCGGAUUGUAAAGCACUUUAAGUUGGGAGGAAGGGCAGUAAGUUAAUACCUUGCUGUUUUGACGUUACCAACAGAAUAAGCACCGGCUAACUUCGUG